Molecule: ribosomal RNA, 370 nt
Filed under: uncultured bacterium
Lineage: Bacteria
Description: bacterial SSU rRNA
Rfam family: Bacterial small subunit ribosomal RNA
Source: RNAcentral
GGAGGGGGCUAGCGUUGUUCGGAAUUACUGGGCGUAAAGCGCGCGUAGGCGGUUCCACUAGUCAGGCGUGAAAGCCCCGGGCUCAACCCGGGAAUAGCGCUUGAUACUUUGGAGCUAGAGUCCGGGAGAGGAGAGUGGAAUUCCCAGUGUAGAGGUGAAAUUCGUAGAUAUUGGGAAGAACACCGGUGGCGAAGGCGGCUCUCUGGACCGGUACUGACGCUCUGGCGCGAAAGCGUGGGGAGCAAACAGGAUUAGAUACCCUGGUAGUCCACGCUGUAAACGAUGAGUGCUAGAUGUUGGGGGGCCUAGCCCUUCAGUGUCGCAGCUAACGCAUUAAGCACUCCGCCUGGGGAGUACGGCCGCAAGGCUA